This 253-nucleotide ribosomal RNA is filed under the name uncultured bacterium. Its description in RNAcentral is "partial 16S ribosomal RNA". It matches the Rfam family "Bacterial small subunit ribosomal RNA", at positions 524 to 776 of the family's 1533-position model. The record is from RNAcentral.
UACGUAGGUGGCAAGCGUUGUCCGGAAUUAUUGGGCGUAAAGCGCGCGCAGGCGGUUCCUUAAGUCUGAUGUGAAAGCCCACGGCUCAACCGUGGAGGGUCAUUGGAAACUGGGGAACUUGAGUGCAGGAGAGAAGAGUGGAAUUCCACGUGUAGCGGUGAAAUGCGUAGAGAUGUGGAGGAACACCAGUGGCGAAGGCGGCUCUCUGGGACGGUACUGACGCUGAGACGCGAAAGCGUGGGGAGCGAACAGG